This 378-nucleotide unclassified non-coding RNA is filed under the name plant metagenome. Its description in RNAcentral is "partial contains 5.8S ribosomal RNA, internal transcribed spacer 2, and large subunit ribosomal RNA". The record is from RNAcentral.
GCCCUUCGCUCCUUCCUUUUCCUUUCCUCCUUCCUUUCCUCCUCUCCUCUUUUCCCUCCCCUUUCGCUCCUUGGUAUUCCUUGGAGCAUGCCUGUUUGAGUAUCAUGAAAUCUUCAAAGUAUCUCUUUUGUUAACUCAAUUGGUUUCUACUUUGGUAUUGGAGGUCUUUGCAGCUUCACACCUGCUCCUCUUUGUUCAUUAGCUGGAUCUCAGUGUUAUGCUUGGUUCCACUCGGCGUGAUAAGUUAUCUAUCGCUGAGGACACUGUAAAAGGUGGCCAAGGUAAAUGCAGAUGAACCGCUUCUAAUAGUCCAUUGACUUGGACAAUAAUUUUAUGAUCUGAUCUCAAAUCAGGUAGGACUACCCGCUGAACUUAAGC